This is an RNA transcript of Magnolia sinica, 1525 nucleotides long. It is a transcript of the gene named protein CURVATURE THYLAKOID 1B, chloroplastic-like, with no coding region annotated. The record is from RefSeq and is a predicted model, not a curated record. The transcript has 5 exons. Lineage: Eukaryota; Viridiplantae; Streptophyta; Magnoliopsida; Magnoliales; Magnoliaceae.
GCGGCACGCACUAGGAACCUUCAGGUUCUAUUUAUGAACACAGGAUGCAUUUUGAAAAGGAUAAAGCAUUAGCUCGAUGAUUCUAGCCUGUGUUGAUUGGUCCCAAGCUCGGGUAAGGGAGGAGGGAAAAGGGCGUUAAGAUCAAUCCGAGGCCAUGACAAUGCCAAGAACAACCACCUAGUGACUUCUCUAUUGCUCAGUUCUGGUUUCUGGAGCGACUACUUGUUGUCCAUGGGCACUAGUGCUAUAAGAGGAUUACCCAAAUGGUAAGAACUACAAAAUCCCUUCUUUCUCUUUCCUUUUCUUGAAAGAAAAAGUAUUGUAUAAUGCUUCUAGAUUCUUACAUAUAUUCCCUUCUUCCAUGUUAAGGGCCUAUUGUUACCACAAUCCGAACUUUACUGACACCUCAUCCAAUGAAGGAACUUUAAGUAAAGUGGGACAAGAUUGAAGACAAGUACGCAGUGACUAUGCUUGCAUUAGCUGUAGCCAUCGCAUUGUGGCUCUCGGCAGGUUUGAUCUUGGCAAUCAAUAGGCUUCCUUUAGUACCUGGCAUUCUUGAACUCAUAGGAAUCGGUUAUACAGGGGUAUGUUGUAAUGUACUAUGCUAUCCCUAGAAGAAAUGCAUCCCACUAAAAACCAUUUUUAGUUCUCAUGUUUCUUUCAGGUUUCUAAGACUAAUCUUGUGCGUUAUACACACUAAUGUGUAUAUGAGUUUUAUGGUGGAAAUGAUGUGGGCUUAUCUUCCUCUUUUGUGGUCUCUUAUAAAACCAAUAUCUCUUAAAAUUUGCAUUGAUGAAAAUUGAAUUUGUUGUAUGCUAAAAUACCAGCCACACAUAAGAAGAGAGAGAGAGAGGGCAGUAUGGGGUACCAAACCAACUACAUAUAUAGGCGUGUUAGAUCAAUGCAUGGAACUAAAUGUCUUUAAAUACAUCUGAUUCAUUAUUCAGUCCCAACUUGUUCGACAGGUACUUCAUCAAACAACCCAAUAGUCAUCCUUCCAUCUCUGUGAUUAAAAAAAAUUAAAAAAAAUUCUUUCUUAUUCAUACAUUUCAUCAAAUUCAUGUACUAUGCACAUACAAGAUUCUCAAGUAGCUCUUGGGUAUCUGAGGCAAAAACGGUUCUUUCUCUCUGCAUUGACAAAUCAAGUACAAUCAAUUACAAUCUAAUAUCAAAUCCUCAAAAACAAAUUUAAAGAAAGUAAAAAAAAAAAAGAAAAAAGAAAAUCCAACUUGGGUUUUUGUUAUCAUUAUUUUUGUAAAGAAUACUUGAAUUAUUUUCGAUCCAAACCACUUGGAAACUCAAAAACUGUCUGAACCAUUGUGAGUUGUCUGUUGAACCGUUAAAAAGUUGUACAAACUACAGUUGAACAUGUAUGAACUGUUAGGUUUUACCAUAAUUACAUAUUUAAACACAUGUAAAUCUAUGGACAUGGGGAUGAUAUCACAGUUCAAGCUGGUGGUUGAAAUUGCAGGGUGACCAAUUUGAUCUCCAGCUUUUUUUUUCUUUUCUUGUUAAAAGCAUUGAU